UUUUUACUGGGCCCAUGUUCUCCUUCUUGUUGAUCAGCUGAUGAAACUCUUUUUUUUUUUUAUUUUUUUUUAUUUACUUAUUUAUUAUAUGUAAGUACACUGUAGCUGUCUUCAGACACUCCAGAAGAGGGCGUCAGAUCUUGUUACAGAUGGUUGUGAGCCACCAUGUGGUUGCUGGGAUUUGAACUCUGGACCUUCGGAAGAGCAGUCGGGUGCUCCUACCCACUGAGCCAUCUCACCAGCCCCUGAUGAAACUCUUAAAUUACACCUGUAACCAACUCCUCUCUGGACUCCUAUACAUGACUGUCUGACCAACAUAGCUAAUCAAGCAUCUCACAGACCUCCAGACUUUGACUGUACAUGCAAACCAAGUUCCAAGUUGCCCCAACAAACCUUUUUUGCUGGCGUCUUCCUUGUCUCAGAUGCCAGUGGAGUAUCAGGCCCCUGUCUUCCGGUUAUCCUUACCACUCCUGUCUCAGAUACCAGUUGAAGUAACUGUUUAUCAGGCCACUGUCAUUAUCCUUACCCCUCCUGUGUGUGUAUAAUUCAAGACCCAAGGAACCACGAGGCUCUUACUUGCUCUACCGUCAGAGCGGGUCCCGAGCCUGGCUUCUUGCCCUUGUCCCCGACAGUGUCCCCAUCAGCAGCCAGAGUCACCCCAUCCUACCUCUCGGCUUCCAGUCCUGUGCUGAGCUGGCCCAUCACAGCCACGAUCUGUACCCAUUUACUUUCCCCAUUCCCCGGUGGCUUCUCUCCCUCUAGUUUCACAGGACCAGGGGACAGUCCCUGCUGCCAGGUUCUGGUUCUUGCUCCUCCCUUGUUGGGGGUUCCUUCCCAGGCACACAGAGCUGCGUAACCCCACACCACUGCCCUAGUAUGGCUGGUGUGUGGUGACCCCUCCCUCUCUUAGAGCCAUCAUUCCUUGUGUCAAAUGUCAUUGCCAAACAUGAGCUCCAUGACGAAGGGAUUGUGUCCUUGCUGAUACAUCCUCCGGGGAUGAAGUGGUGUUGAAAAAAUGCUAUUGAAUGGGGGGAACUGGUGACGUUCCUCUCAUUGUCUGAGAAGAAAGGAAAGCCCACUGUAAAUAGAAAAGAAACCCCCUUUCCUCACCUGUCACUAGCUCUACUCAGGUGUAACUGACACAAUGGUGUAGUGUAGAACAUGAUGUCUUGAGAUGUGCACCUACAAAAUGGCUGCCACAAUGAAACCCAGACUUUCCUGUGCCCAGACUGGCCUUGUAUUUAUUCCAUAAUCCAGGCGGGUCUCAAACUCUUCCUCUUGUCUCCUAAAUCCUGGGAUUACAAGUACUAUAAUUGACAACUUGUGAGUGUGUGUGUGUGUGUGUGUGUGUGUGUGGUGUAUAUGUGCAUUGCGUGUGAAUAUUUAGAAUCAAAUCUCAGUGGUUUUCAAGCAUCCAACACAUUAGCAUUAAUCACAGGGACGAUGCUGCAGGCGUCACGAUCAUGCAGUCCUGCUGGUCAUGACUGUGUCCUAGAAAUUGUAUCCAGAGCCAGGGACAUUGCUCAGUGAAUAAAGGUACUUUACACAGAAGGUUGACACCUGAGUUUGAACCCUGGGACCUAUGUGAAAUAAAAGGAGAGAAAUGAUCCUGCAACAUUGAGAUCUCUAUACAUUUGUCAUGGCAUAUGUAUGCCCCCUCCACAUCACACACUACACACACAAUAAUAAAUAAAAACUUUUAAAAUUUUGAAAAUUGGGCUGCAUAGAUGGCUCAGACACUAAGAGGAGUUUUGUUUUGUUUUCUGUUUUUGUUGUUGUUGUUGUUUUCGUUUUGUUUUGUUUUCUGGUUUUUUUUGUUGUUUUAGUUUUGUUUUGUUUUGUUUUUUGGUUUUUUGUUUUUGUUUUUGUUUUUGUUUUGAGGCAGGGUUUCUCUGUAUAGCCUUGGCUGUCCUGGAACUCACUCUGUAGACCAGGCUGGUCUUGAACUCGGAAAUCCAUCUGCCUCUGCCUUCCAAGUGCUGGGAUUAAAGGUGUGUGUCACCACUACCCAGCAACAAGAGUAUUGUUUACAAAAGAAUUAUAUUGCUUUCUAUCUAGUUUAUGUCUGAUGGUUGAUUGUGGGGUGGCAGGGCAUCCUAAAUAAUCCUGACCCUGCCACUCUCUGGGAGACUUUGGAAAUCAGGCUUCCCAAGAUGCUGUCUUCCAGUGUGUAAAACUGGAAGGGUCAUAGUAUACGUUUAGAACGGGUGAACAUGGGCUUUGGGAGAUGUUGUGACUAUCUGGGAGGGGGCAGUCUGCUUGGUCCUAAGCUUGUAUCCAACAGUUGCUGCCCUGAAGGGUCGCUGUGUCCCCAUCCAGACUUCUUUCCAUCCUUUGACCUCUCCAGCCUGUCUGACUUCGGUUAUUUCACAAGGAUCUUUGGACUUCUGCGAUUACCUUGAAGCCAAGGCGUCUUCUAGGUGAGGUGCUCUAUAGUCCUGUUAGCAUGAUGUCAUCCUGAGUUCACGAGUUACGAGCCUCCUGCAGCUAACAGUGCCGUUCCUGUUCAACUAGAGUCAGAUUCCUACUCUAAAGUCUAUGUGGAGUGGAUUUGCCCUGAAGGGCAUUCUUUCAGGAUGAGCACAGCAGGGAGUGCAGACCCUUGGCACAGUGAGUGGACUCUACUUCCUUCUCCAAGGCUGAUGUGGGCUGAUCCAGAUGUGGGCGCCUAUACAUUCCCUCGAUUCCUGAAGUGUUACUGAAGACCCAGCAGUGAGGUCUGACAACCCCUGUGCUGUCCUAGGGAAGUCCUUUGGUGUCCCUCCACUCCCAACAUCUGGAGGAGUGUUUUGCUGGGGAGAGCAGGGCUGCAGUUCUGGGAGGGGAGGAAAGGCCAGAGUCUUAGACUCCUGGCUCACAGUCAUGGCUGCUGGGAAAUGCUGACUGGCCUGCUCUUAUCUUCAUGGUGGCCGCAAAACUAAGGGAGGUCAAGGUUUUUGCAAUAGCUAGGAGGAGUUUUUAAAGAGUUCUUAUCAUCCUUGAGAAGUUGGCAGCUGGAAAGUGUUUGCCUGGGAGUUUCUGUAGAGUGUUUAGGGGUUGGAAGCCUAUCAAUUGCUGUGACAGUCUGAGAGAGGGGCUCAUUAUGGAGAGGGUCAAACAGCUGGGUGUUCCCCCGAACACCCAACUCAGGGACAUGGAGGACGGACACAUGGGAUGGAACUAGCCUUUCUCUCUCAUGUGGGUGAACAGCAGAGCUGCAACAGCUGGAGAGACUCGGAGCAGGGGUUUUAAAGAGCAAAACAAACCAAGAGCGAGCGAGGAAAGGCGUUGCUCGGUGGCCGGGUGCCUCGCUCGCUCUGCAGACUUUGAAGUUACCGUGUUUCCUCUGGCCUUUGACCUGAUGUCCUGUCAAACCCUCCUGAGAACUUACGUCUAUGAACUGCCAUUUACCUGUCUGUCAUAAUCCUGCAGGACCAGUUGGGUUGGUUAAGAAUACCAAACACCUAAAGCAACACUGGCGGAAGAUGACCCCGUAAUGAAAUAAAUAUUAGAUAUGUAAAUAACGCAUAGCAGAACUUUCCAAUCGGCACGCCCGGAAUGGUCUUGAAUAGGGUUCUGUUUGCUCAAAUCACAUUAGAUUUUUACGAUAAGACUGUUGUUUUAGUCCACGGGACGUCCAGCAUGCGAGUCAUUCUGUACGGCCCUAAAGCUUUCCGCAAAGUCCCGAUUAGUAUGAUGUACAUGUUUGGAUAUUUCUAACCACUGCAAUUUUGAAACAUAAUGCGGCUUUCAGAAGUAAAUAAGAAACAUGAGUUACUAUGAAGACCAGUGGUGAAGUCAUCAUCCCCAGAAGAACCCCCCGACCACGCCCUUCUGGGUGUGACCGCUCCUCACCCACGCUAACAUCCAGCACCGCUUGCUUUCCUUCUGAACUUCACAGUUAGUCAGACACUUCAUCCUCUUCCCUGCCUUGCUUCCUUCACUCUUGCCUUGUUGGCUCAGCAGCUCUUUGCUCCUGGAUCCUCCAGUGCUGAGGGAAGAUAAAGCUGCCAAGAUUUGUACAGAGGGUGGCAGUUUCAGCCUUGGGCACUGCUCCCACACCUCUGUAGCUGUGUCUGCAGUCCUGAAGGAGACAUGAAGUGUGUACUACACACCAGCAGGAGAGGCUCCAGUUCAUGCCAGCAGCAUAGGCUCUUGGCUUCCGUUGACCACCCCCGCCCCCACCACCACCACCAUGCAAAGUGCUCCCAUGCCUCCUCCCUAAUCUCCCUUCCUUUGGCUCUAUGUCCCAUUAAACACAAACAAAAUGUC
Long non-coding RNA from Mus musculus (house mouse), 4251 nucleotides. RefSeq annotates it as predicted gene, 35930. The transcript is spliced from 2 exons. Lineage: Eukaryota; Metazoa; Chordata; Mammalia; Rodentia; Muridae. The record is from RefSeq and is a predicted model, not a curated record.